UCUCUGAUAGUAUAUCGGUUAGUACACGCGCCUGUCAAAUGGUAUCAAACCCCUUCGCGCGAAAGCUGGGUUCGACUCCCAGUCAGAGAG
Molecule: non-coding RNA, 90 nt
Organism: Armillaria nabsnona
Lineage: Eukaryota; Fungi; Basidiomycota; Agaricomycetes; Agaricales; Physalacriaceae
Source: the annotation of a GenBank genome assembly